CCUACGGGAGUCAGCCGUUUUUACUAUUGCCCCCUGGGGGCCCCCCUGAUGCAGCGACGCCGCGUGAGUGAAGAAGCGUUUCGGCGCGUAAAGCUCUGUCAGCGGGGAAGAAACACGGUUCGCGAGAGCCGCGGACGGUACCCGACCAAGAAGCCCCGGCUAACUACGUGCCAGCAGCCGCGGUAAUACGUAGGGGGCAAGCGUUAUCCGGAUUCACUGGGUGUAAAGGGAGCGUAGACGGCGAGACAAGUCUGGAGUGAAAGGCCGGGGCCCAACCCCGGGACUGCUCUGGAAACUGCCUGGCUGGAGUACAGGAGAGGUAAGUGGAAUUCCUAGUGUAGCGGUGAAAUGCGUAGAUAUUAGGAGGAACACCAGUGGCGAAGGCGGCUUACUGGACUGUAACUGACGUUGAGGCUCGAAAGCGUGGGGAGCAAACAGGAUUAGAUACCCUUGUAGUC
This 458-nucleotide ribosomal RNA is filed under the name uncultured bacterium. Its description in RNAcentral is "partial 16S ribosomal RNA". It matches the Rfam family "Bacterial small subunit ribosomal RNA", at positions 338 to 795 of the family's 1533-position model. The record is from RNAcentral.